CGAGCGAGAAUUCUUUUAAUGAACCCCCGGGUGAUUUAAAAGAAGGACAGCGGCGGGCGGGUGAGUAACGCGUGGGCAACCUGCCCUAUACAGAGGGAUAGCCUCGGGAAACCGGGAUUAAUACCUCAUAAAACUCUAAGAUCGCACGAUCAAUGAGUCAAAGAUUUAUCAGUAUAGGAUGGGCCCGCGUCUGAUUAGCUAGUUGGUAAGGUAAUGGCUUACCAAGGCGACGAUUAGUAGCCGACCUGAGAGGGUGAUCGGCCACACUGGAACUGAGACACGGUCCAGACUCCUACGGGAGGCAGCAGUGGGGAAUAUUGCACAAUGGGCGAAAGCCUGAUGCAGCAACGCCGCGUGAGCGAUGAAGGCCUUCGGGUCGUAAAGCUCUGUCCUAAGGGAAGAAUAAUGACGGUACCUUAGGAGGAAGCCCCGGCUAACUACGUGCCAGCAGCCGCGGUAAUACGUAGGGGGCGAGCGUUAUCCGGAAUCAUUGGGCGUAAAGGGUGCGUAGGCGGUUAUGCAAGUUAGAGGUGAAAGGCUACGGCUCAACCGUAGUUAAGCCUUUAAAACUGCACAACUUUGAGUGCAGGAGAGGAGAGUGCGAAUUCCCUAGUGUAGCGGUGAAAUGCGUAGAUAUUAGGCAGGAAAC
This 649-nucleotide ribosomal RNA is filed under the name uncultured bacterium. Its description in RNAcentral is "bacterial SSU rRNA". It matches the Rfam family "Bacterial small subunit ribosomal RNA", at positions 63 to 709 of the family's 1533-position model. The record is from RNAcentral.